UGGGCUUAUUUUUACCUUUUUUUUAAUCACACAGUUUGGGUAAUUUCACACGGUCUAUCCACACGACCGUAUGACUCACAUAACCAUGUACUUUUUUUUCCUUUUUAAAGCUAGAUUUUUUUUCUUUUGUAUUUUUUUUCCUAUGUUCCUCUCUACCCCAAGCCUUAUUUUUAUUUUUAUUUUCUAGAUUUAUAUCUUUUAUUUUAUUUUAG
RNAcentral lists this long non-coding RNA (212 nucleotides) under Gossypium raimondii (Peruvian cotton). RNAcentral's name for it is "long non-coding RNA (GRAI_LNC005529)". Lineage: Eukaryota; Viridiplantae; Streptophyta; Magnoliopsida; Malvales; Malvaceae. The record is from RNAcentral.